This 254-nucleotide ribosomal RNA is filed under the name uncultured bacterium. RNAcentral's name for it is "partial 16S ribosomal RNA". It matches the Rfam family "Bacterial small subunit ribosomal RNA", at positions 524 to 776 of the family's 1533-position model. The record is from RNAcentral.
GACAGAGGGUGCAAACGUUGCUCGGAAUCACUGGGCGUAAAGCGCGUGUAGGCGGCCAGAAAAGUCCGCUGUGAAAACUCGAGGCUCAACCUCGAGCUGUCGGUGGAAACUUUCUGGCUAGAGUCCGGAAGAGGAGAAUGGAAUUCCUGGUGUAGCGGUGAAAUGCGCAGAUAUCAGGAAGAACACCCGUGGCGAAGGCGGCUCUCUGGGACGGUACUGACGCUGAGACGCGAAAGCGUGGGGGAGCGAACAGG